This 1681-nucleotide long non-coding RNA is filed under the name Homo sapiens (human). RNAcentral describes it as "HSALNT0382435". The record is from RNAcentral. Lineage: Eukaryota; Metazoa; Chordata; Mammalia; Primates; Hominidae.
GGUCUUGAUGCUUGUGGAUAUUCAAUGCCUGAGCAUUGAAGAGUUAGGUAUUUAUUGUAGUCUUCUCAGUCUGGCAGUGCAUUACCCUUCCGGCUUUGAUAUGUGCCAAUACACAUGGAGUAUUCCCAGCCAGAGAGACUCCCUCAAGCCUCAGUGUUCAGGGUUUUUACUGGAACUUCAUCACAGAGGCAUGCUUGAUUGUCCAUGUGGAUCCUCUCAGUUUUCAGUUUCCAGUCCUUCCAGGGGUGACCUAAAGCCCAGACUCUAAAUCUCUUAGUCGGAUUUCCUGGCCUGGCUAGACCCCACCCUAAAUCUCAUUAUUAGACUAUCCAUUAUGAUCCAAGAUCCCCAGGCAAAGAUACUCCUAUUAGGCAUUAUGUGUCGAAGAUUACCUCCCAGGAGUCUAGGACAAAGGUCAGACCUCUUUUUGGUCAACGUUAAUUUUUAUUUGAAACUAUACAACAUUGCCAUCACUCUGUUAUCCUUUCUGUUUUGUCUUCAAAAUAACCCUAAUUGGUGGGUAAGGAUAUUAUUAUAAACAAGAUCUCAAGAGGGAAGACGCUGGGGCAAGGUUGCACAGUCGAUCCUGGACUCAUGGUACAAGACUCUUUCCACUCUCUGAGAGCCCUGAGUCCUGAGAAGAUGGAAACAAGCUUCCAGAUGGUGAGGGAAAGUGUGAUGAGAUUUUAUGAUAAAUCGUGCCUGUCUCUGAGCCCAUCUCCUCCUGUUGAAGAGAAGGAAAAUGAGAAUAGAAUGAAUAUGAUAUUAAUCAUACUUCGAAUUGUGGCCAUGAUGGAGUACCUGAAUUGAUGAUGGUCUCCCAGCAUAAACAACUACAAAGCUGGACAAAGUACAUGAAGAAAUUGUCUUCAGGCAUUGGGCAAUAGGCAGUUCCAGGUACAAACUGAGAGAAGGGAAUCACAUGAAGUGACUGCUACAUUUUUCUGGUGGGGAAAGUUUCCAAACCCUCAAUGACAGCAUGAGGAAGCAGAGUCCAAGCCAAGAGGAUCAGUCUUGUUUGGUGGAGGAAACAGGGACUGCCACUCAGGGCUGCUAAAAUGUGUGUGGCAGAGUAUCAGAAAGGACGGAGUUGCAGAGAAGGAGCCCCAGAAAUCUUAUAGAGGUUGUUGCAGGUCCUUGGCCAAAUCCCAAACUACGAAUGUGUGGAUUGAGACUCUGCAAGGCCCAGCACAGAACAGCCGAUGGGGAGCUGAAAGCUAAACAUCGAUUUCAGUGGUCACAGAGUGCUGGGGAUACACCCGAAUUCUGGCUCAACCAGAGUCUCCACUCUUGGAAUCUCAGGUCUUGAUGAAUAUCCCAGACAUUCACAGAGGGCCUAGAAGGCCAUGCCUUGGGAUUAAGGAAGAUUCCCUAGGAAUAAGGGCAAAACUGAAAAACAGCUCACCCUAACAAAGCCUAAAAUGUAGCCUUGACACACAUGAUCAAGUUAACCCAUCAGUAAUUUAAUUCCCUGCAAAACAAAACUCAACACUAGAGUAGGAUAACAUAAUCCAUAUCUCUACAAUGAAGGUUCACAAUGUCCAACAGAUCAAGAAAUACUUACUAGAUAAGUGAAAAAGUGAGAAAAUACAUCCUAAAAUUAAGAGAAAACCAGUCAAUACGAACAGACCCACCAUGCAUGGUGGCUCAUGCCUGUAAUCCCAGCACUUUGGGAGGCCAA